UACGGAGGGUGCGAGCGUUAUUCGGAAUUAUUGGGCGUAAAGGGCGCGUAGGCGGCUGAACAAGUCAAAGGUGAAAUCCCUCGGCUCAACUGAGGAACUGCCUUUGAAACUGUUCGGCUUGAGGCCGGGAGGGGGUAGCGGAAUUCCCAGUGUAGCGGUGAAAUGCGUAGAUAUUGGGAGGAACACCAGUGGCGAAGGCGGCUACCUGGACCGGUUCUGACGCUGAGGCGCGAAAGCGUGGGGAGCAAACAGG
Molecule: ribosomal RNA, 253 nt
Filed under: uncultured bacterium
Lineage: Bacteria
Description: partial 16S ribosomal RNA
Rfam family: Bacterial small subunit ribosomal RNA
Source: RNAcentral